AGCUGGGGUGGCAUAGUGGUUCAAGUGCUGGAUUAGGACUUGGGAGACCAGGGUUCAAAUCCCUGCUCAGCCA
Podarcis lilfordi (Lilford's wall lizard) is the source of this 73-nucleotide non-coding RNA. The record is from the annotation of a GenBank genome assembly. NCBI's taxonomy places the organism in Eukaryota, Metazoa, Chordata, Lepidosauria, Squamata, Lacertidae.